CGGCGGCAGCGCGUCCUCGGUCCCCAGGACCACGGCUUCUUUCCUGCCAGAGCGACUCUACCUUGGAAACCAGGGAUUCCCCUUCCCGUCGCCCGCCCCAUUUGAUAUAUGGGCCUGAAAUGUAUGCCAUCCCAUCACCAUCGGACUGGACUGUUCACAGCACUGGAGAGACAGAGGUCCUUCAUUCACUCCAGGUCACAGGCUGUGCGUGUGCAUGCCGAACACCCACAUGCACACAGUUGGUGGCUCAGUCUGAUGUACCUGACUUCUCACGCCUUCCCCCAGUCCUCCAGUACCGUGCCUCUACAUGGGCUGGGCAGCCCCAAACUGAAAUGUGAGUGCCAGAGUGCAUCCUUUAAGCGAGGUCUGCCCCACGGACACCCGCUCCCUCUGUGUCCCUGCUUUGACAGAUCUAUCCAUCUGGCCAUCCAUCCGUGGGGGUCUGCAAUGGCCACCUUUAGCCGCCAGGAAUUUUUCCAGCAGCUACUACAAGGCUGUCUCCUGCCUACUGCCCAGCAGGGCCUUGACCAGAUCUGGCUGCUCCUUGCCAUCUGCCUCGCCUGCCGCCUCCUCUGGAGGCUCGGGUUGCCAUCCUACCUGAAGCAUGCAAGCACCGUGGCAGGCGGGUUCUUCAGCCUCUACCACUUCUUCCAGCUGCACAUGGUUUGGGUCGUGCUGCUCAGCCUCCUGUGCUACCUCGUGCUGUUCCUCUGCCGACAUUCCUCCCAUCGAGGCGUCUUCCUAUCCGUCACCAUCCUCAUCUACUUACUCAUGGGUGAGAUGCACAUGGUAGACACCGUGACAUGGCACAAGAUGCGAGGUAGGUAGCCCUGCCCCUCUCACCUGCCCAACCCCCCUGCCCCACUCCUCGUCUCCUAACUGCCCCCACCCUGUGCCUUUCCUCCCCUGCUUUUCUCCCUCACCUGCCCACCCCACUGGACGUGCAGACCUCACAUUACUCUCGGGUCCGUGUCUCUUUCCACCGUGCAUUUUCCCGAAGUCUGUCUGUCUCGUGUCAUGUAUGUGCCUGACUCUCUGGAGUAAGGGCAUCUAUCUGUCCUGGGCUUCCUUGCCCACCUGCCUAUCUGUCCCAUGCCCACCUAUCCAUCCUUGUGCCCGCUUUUCCUACCACAUCUCACCUGGUGCACCUCCUCCUUGCCAUGCUGAUCUGCUCUCUGCCCAUCCACUUG
This 1190-nucleotide long non-coding RNA is filed under the name Pan troglodytes (chimpanzee). Its description in RNAcentral is "long non-coding RNA NONPTRT018260". Lineage: Eukaryota; Metazoa; Chordata; Mammalia; Primates; Hominidae. The record is from RNAcentral.